This is an unclassified non-coding RNA of Callithrix jacchus (white-tufted-ear marmoset), 298 nucleotides long. It matches the Rfam family "Metazoan signal recognition particle RNA". Rfam says of the family: The signal recognition particle (SRP) is a universally conserved ribonucleoprotein. It is involved in the co-translational targeting of proteins to membranes. The record is from Ensembl. NCBI's taxonomy places the organism in Eukaryota, Metazoa, Chordata, Mammalia, Primates, Cebidae.
GCCAGACACAGUGUUGGAUACAUGUAAACCCAGCUACUCAGGAGGCUGAGUGGGGAGGAUCCCUAGAGUUCAGGAGUUCUGAGCAAUAGUGCACUAUGCUGAUCAGGUAUCUGCAAUGUUAUGCAUCAAUAUGGUGAUCUCCUGGGAAGAAGACACCACCAGGUUGCCUCAGGAGAGAUGAAGCAACUCAGGUUGGAAACAGAGCAGGUCAAAACUUCUGUGCUGAUCAGUAGUGGGAUUACAGCUGUGACUAGCCACUGCAUGCCAGUCUAGAAUGUAGAGAGGCUUAGUCUCUUUA